RNAcentral lists this unclassified non-coding RNA (200 nucleotides) under soil metagenome. RNAcentral describes it as "partial contains internal transcribed spacer 2 and large subunit ribosomal RNA". The record is from RNAcentral.
AGUGGGGUCCACUUUGCUGAUCCUUGACGUGAUAAGAUGUUUCUACGUUUUGGAUUUAGUAUUGUCUUUUGGAUGCCUGCUCCUAACUGUCUCACAGACAAUGAUGGUGCUCUGGUCACUGCCAUCUAUAUUGGUAGGAGGCUGGACCCACAAAAAGAAACCUUGACCUCAAGUCGGGUGAGACUACCCGCUGAACUUAA